AAGCAUGUUUCCACAGACUGUAACAGGUUGUGGCCAAGGAUCAUCAAUUGCAUGCAAGUAUACUGUAAAGGAACUCUGACAGCUCAGGUCAACACAAUACCUGCAGCUGGCACUCACCUUUCAUAUAACA
Small nucleolar RNA from Cavia porcellus (domestic guinea pig), 130 nucleotides. It matches the Rfam family "Small nucleolar RNA SNORA44". Rfam says of the family: ACA44 is a member of the H/ACA class of snoRNA that guide the sites of modification of uridines to pseudouridines. NCBI's taxonomy places the organism in Eukaryota, Metazoa, Chordata, Mammalia, Rodentia, Caviidae. The record is from Rfam.